GUUGGCGACCAUACCACGUUGAAAGCACCGGUUCUCGUCCGAUCACCGAAGUUAGUGCGUUGUGGCAUAGUGGUUAGGAUGCUCGCCAACC
RNAcentral lists this ribosomal RNA (91 nucleotides) under Trichobilharzia regenti. Lineage: Eukaryota; Metazoa; Platyhelminthes; Trematoda; Strigeidida; Schistosomatidae. The record is from RNAcentral.